GACGAAGGAUGCAAGCGUUAUCCGGAUUCAUUGGGUUUAAAGGGUGCGUAGGCGGAUUUACAAGUCAGUGGUGAAAUCUCCCAGCUUAACUGGGAAACUGCCAUUGAAACUGUUUAUCUUGAGUACAUUUGAGGCGGGCGGAAUGUGUCAUGUAGAGGUGAAAUUCUUAGAUAUGACACAGAACACCAAUUGCGAAGGCAGCUCGCUAAACUGUAACUGACGCUGAGGCACGAAAGCGUGGGGAUCAAACAGG
This 253-nucleotide ribosomal RNA is filed under the name uncultured bacterium. RNAcentral describes it as "partial 16S ribosomal RNA". It matches the Rfam family "Bacterial small subunit ribosomal RNA", at positions 524 to 776 of the family's 1533-position model. The record is from RNAcentral.